GAAACAACCUUCUUUAUCCAAGA
Molecule: non-coding RNA, 23 nt
Filed under: Rattus norvegicus (Norway rat)
Lineage: Eukaryota; Metazoa; Chordata; Mammalia; Rodentia; Muridae
Source: RNAcentral